This 433-nucleotide ribosomal RNA is filed under the name uncultured bacterium. RNAcentral describes it as "partial 16S ribosomal RNA". It matches the Rfam family "Bacterial small subunit ribosomal RNA", at positions 29 to 507 of the family's 1533-position model. The record is from RNAcentral.
AGCGAACGCUGGCGGCAGGCCUAACACAUGCAAGUCGAACGAACUCUUCGGAGUUAGUGGCGGACGGGUGAGUAACACGUGGGAACGUGCCUUUAGGUUCGGAAUAACUCAGGGAAACUUGUGCUAAUACCGAAUGUGCCCUUCGGGGGAAAGAUUUAUCGCCUUUAGAGCGGCCCGCGUCUGAUUAGCUAGUUGGUGAGGUAAAGGCUCACCAAGGCGACGAUCAGUAGCUGGUCUGAGAGGAUGAUCAGCCACAUUGGGACUGAGACACGGCCCAAACUCCUACGGGAAGCAGCAGUGGGGAAUCUUGCGCAAUGGGCGAAAGCCUGACGCAGCCAUGCCGCGCGAAUGAUGAAGGUCUUAGGAUUGUAAAAUUCUUUCACCGGGGACGAUAAUGACGGUACCCGGAGAAGAAGCCCCGGCUAACUUCGUG